GGGCCCGCACAAGCGGUGGAGCAUGUGGAUUAAUUCGAUAAUGACCGAAGAACCUUACCCAGGUUUGACAUGUCAGUGCCUUACCCGUAACGGGGUAUUCUUGUAGAAAUACAAGCACUGUCACCGCUGUUGCAUGGCUGUCGUCAGCUCGUGCCGUGAGGUGUUGGGUUAAGUCCCGCAACGAGCGCAACCCGCGUUCCAUUUUGCCAACAGGUAAUGCUGGGAACUAUUGGAAGACCGCCUGGGUAACCAGGAGGAAGGGGCGGACGACGUCAAGUCAGCAUGGCGCUUACGCCUGGGGCCUCACACAUGCUACAAUGGGCGCAACAGAGGGAUCCGAAGCCGCGAGGUAGAGGCAACCCCCAAAGGCGCCCUCAGUUCGGAUCGCAGUCUGCAACUCGACUGCGUGAAGUUGGAAUCGCUAGUAAACGCGGAUCAGCUAAGCCGCGUUGAAUACGUUCCCGGGCCUU
RNAcentral lists this ribosomal RNA (470 nucleotides) under uncultured bacterium. RNAcentral's name for it is "bacterial SSU rRNA". It matches the Rfam family "Bacterial small subunit ribosomal RNA", at positions 917 to 1382 of the family's 1533-position model. The record is from RNAcentral.